This 1194-nucleotide long non-coding RNA is filed under the name Gallus gallus (chicken). Its description in RNAcentral is "lncRNA (ENSGALG00010018005.1)". Lineage: Eukaryota; Metazoa; Chordata; Aves; Galliformes; Phasianidae. The record is from RNAcentral.
GGGAAGCAGAAAAAUACUUUGUAACUAUACUGUUUUUCCAGCCUGCUCUGAGCAGUUUCUCUUCAAGCCUACUCCUGCUUACAGGUGCCAAGAACCUCCUUGGGCUUCCUGGAUGUAUCUUGAAAGCUAGUGGAAAGAGGGUGCCCAUGGCUCCCUGUUGUCUGGUGGCUGUGAUAACACCAGAAAAAUUAAGUAUAUUCAGAAUUUCUGAAACGUUGCAUCCCGAGUAGGUCACUACAGCAUCAACAAUUCCCUCAUCAAAUUGUCUCCCUAGGGUAUAACAUCUUGUUUCAAGUCAAAGACCUCCAACUGACAAGGGCAGGCAGAUAUGCUACUCACAACCUACCGGUCACAUAAACCUACCAAGGAAGCAGAGAACUCAUUUCAUAUAAGUCCAACUCUGGAAAACAAGCCACUUUCAUAUGUCAUGGGAAACUAUGUCAGACAACAGAGCGAUCCUACAGUGUCCCACUAUAUCACCUGGUCCAAUUUGACCAGUUAUUGCCACAGGUUUGCAGAAACUGGCUCAGAGAUGGAAGCAUUGCAGUACAUUGCCUUGAAGGAGACAGUGGGCUGACAAUGCCCUGGAGCUGUGUAUCAGAGGUACCUUUAUCAGAUGAUCUUUCAGACAUUUACAAACAGUAAUUAAGUACUACACCACCCUUAUGAUGUAGGGGGUAAUUUCUCACCCCCCAUUUUACAAAGCAAGAAGCCAGAGCACACAUAACCUGUAAAAAGAACCUUCUGCUUUCAUAUCCCAGACUGGGGCUUUAAGCACUAGGCCGUGUUUCUUUUUCAUAGCCAGCGCCCUAAACUUACCCCCUGAAGAACACACUGAGCAUAAAGGGUCAAAUCUGGGAAUCACUGAGCAAGAACAGUGAGGGCUGCUUACAGCAGUAUUGCAUCUCAGGGAGUUUAAUGGAUAAAUCAUGGCCAUUUUCCCAGCUUCUCCUAGGGCUGGGAAUUAGAGCUGGAAGGAGGCUUGUAAAACUCUCAAGUACUUCCUUCAAGUCAAAACUGCCAUUCCCAUGUAUCUCAUCCUACCCCUUUCGAAGGGAUUAAAGCCAUGGAAGGAAACUCCCUUCUCCAAAGCCCUCUGUUCCCCUCGUAAUACUUACGAGAAGACAAAUAAAUCUGCCUAUCAGCAAAUCACUCAAGUAAAUUUAUUGUCACCAUGCAGUGACUUUGCCUGGC